GUGUUGGUGGACGAGUGGCUUAGUCGUAGGUCUGCAAAACCUACUAGAGGGGUUCGAAUCCCUUCCAACACUCA
RNAcentral lists this transfer RNA (74 nucleotides) under Caudoviricetes sp. RNAcentral's name for it is "tRNA-Cys". It matches the Rfam family "tRNA". From Rfam's summary of the family: Transfer RNA (tRNA) molecules are approximately 80 nucleotides in length. Their secondary structure includes four short double-helical elements and three loops (D, anti-codon, and T loops). Lineage: Duplodnaviria; Heunggongvirae; Uroviricota; Caudoviricetes. The record is from RNAcentral.